CCAUAUGUCAUUGUUGCUCUGGUUUGAUACAUUUUGGUGGUACUGUGUCGUACUUUACGCUUGUGUAUGCUUGAUGAAGUCUAGCUCAAGCACGAUUGGAGCUUCGAUGUGAAGCUCCAAUGGCUUCCUAACAGAUCUCCAUGUGAGGUUUCUUUGAGAGAGAGCGAGAAUGAGGGAGAUGCUGAGAGAUUUAGAGAAGAGAGAUUCUGAAAUGAGGGACUAUGAGAUUCUGAGGGAAGAAUGAUUGGGUUGAAUAUGCAGAGAUUGGUUGUUUAUGCAGGAUGUGAUGCCAAUUGAUGAUUGAUGCAGAAACUUUCGCUUUUAGAACAGGAUUAUCACUGCAUUAGGCUGAAGGUUGGUGAAUAUGGGAGCUUGGCUUUUGACCUGCAAACGGACUUGAGCAAGGUCAUGAAACAUCGAAGACCACUCGAUAAGGUACUCACGGCAAAAGUUUCAUGCACUGUCAAGACAAUCUUCCACUUAUAUCCUUACAAUAUGUAUCCUUGAGUUUUCCUUUGUUGUUUCAUGAAUAUGCCUGGCCAAACGUAAUAACGCAGCUUGUGACAGUCUAUGCGUCUGGUACAUUACACUGUCAAGCACACUAAUGGUGCCAGCAACUGACACGACUGAGGAUUGGCCUGACUUAGCCGAUGCAACUGCAACAAUUGCAGCAACAACUAUGGUUGUAUUCAUCGUGUCUGCGAAUGGUUCCCAUGACACUGUGACCAUCUGUGACGGGGAGUUCUUGAGACGGUGCUGGAGUUUCCAAGCCAAGCGGCGGAAAUAUUGUGUUGGUAUAACGAUCCUCCAUUGUUGGCAUCAAAAUUAUUCAGAGUCUUGACGUAGAAGACAACAUGAUUGACAUUGUCUUCUUCGUUACUAGUCAAGAACGGAAGUGAUGAGUAAUUGGUUUGAAGUCCUGGUGGUUCUCUUGCAAUUGAGGAAACCAGUUAAAUGAAAUACUUAGAAUUUAGAUAUUAAUCAAACAGUAGUUAGCAGGUUAGGAAUUCAAUUAGUUUUGCUUGAAUUCUUCUAUCAUAUUGGAAUGUGAAUUGGUUUGGAUUUUAAAUUUUGGAAUUUUGUAAAUGAAAAUUUGUAUUGAAUCAUGAAUGUACACUAACUGUAAAUUUGUUUGGAUGGAUAUUUGAACACGUGACAUUAAGUUA
Long non-coding RNA from Lathyrus oleraceus (garden pea), 1166 nucleotides. RefSeq lists it as uncharacterized. The record is from RefSeq and is a predicted model, not a curated record. The transcript has 3 exons. NCBI's taxonomy places the organism in Eukaryota, Viridiplantae, Streptophyta, Magnoliopsida, Fabales, Fabaceae.